Non-coding RNA from Drosophila melanogaster (fruit fly), 1396 nucleotides. NCBI's taxonomy places the organism in Eukaryota, Metazoa, Arthropoda, Insecta, Diptera, Drosophilidae. The record is from Ensembl.
CAAAGUUAAUCAGAUAUUCGGGUGGCACGUUGAACUCAACGUCUUGUGCUCUGAAAAAAGGCUGUGCUACGAAGGGGCCAGCGAAGGUUGUAUGCAAGCUCUCCUGCGAGUUCAGGUUCAGGCCUAAACCCGUGAGAUCCGUACCCAAGGAGAGCGUCACCAGAUUGGGAUCCGUUUCUGCAGCCCGAAUGAACGUCAGCAGGCCAACCAUGCCGAACUGGUUGUUCACCAUGGUCGCUGGUAUGUUUGUGACCUUCCCUAUUUAUGCAAAACGAACGAAAGGAUAGUAUAGCUGUUGGGCUUUUGUGAUGUACACCGAAAUCACCGAAUUAUAAUAUGAAACAAAUAAUAAUAGAAACCAAGAAAUCCAUUGAUUAAAUGGUAUCAAUCAUCCAUAGAGUGUUCAAUUCAAAGCUCCAAAUGAUCAAAAGGUCAAAAAUAGCUCUCUCACAUGUUGUGAGAAGUGUUCCAGCACUCACCAUCUGGCGAAGUUUGCACGCCGCUCUUUACAAGUUUAUCGUUGCUGGAAUUAUCGUUCAGAUGCUCGCCGCCCGCUCCGCUCCCAGACGAGCCGCUUCCACUCCCCAGGCCGCCGCCUACGCCCAUCAUGGCAUUGCUGUUGGGUACGCUGUUGACGCCGCCAAUGCCGCUGUUACUGCCCACCAGUCCUACAUGGGACCCGCCGACAACGCCGCUGGCUGCAUUGCCGCCGACUCCUCCGCCUCCUGAGCUACCAGCUCCUCCGCCGCCGCCUACUGCCAAGCCCCCUAUACCACUGCCAACGGCACCGAGACCAUUGCCGCCUACAACGCCGACGUUGGAACCGCUGCUGCCGCUCGCUGAUCCGCUGACCACUAUCGAAUUCAUCGGCUUUUCCGUGCCGUCCAAGUGGUUCUCUGUGGACGCACCUCCGGAGCCUCCUUAUAAUCCGGAAACACAAUUUCAUUUCAAACUCUAAAUUGCAAAAGCUCUUCAUGGAAUCAGAAGCCCGUAUUCGGUUGGACCAACGUAGCCAAAGUAAAUGUCCUUGACUGAAUCUAGUUUUUGCAGCGUUUGCCAUACCCAAACCAACACCCGAGGUUAGUCCCAAAUACAGCGUAGCAUAUCUAAGUGGGCUUAAUGAGCUGAUCACGAGACACCACGCUUACAACCGAUUCUUAAUCGUAGUUUUAAAAACAAAAAUAAAUAAAAAGAAGUGGAUUUUGAUUUGAACUCACAAGAGGUAAAGAAAUUACCAUAGGGUUUGCUGCCCGGCGGCUGGAGCGGAUUCGAUUGGGGCAGUGUCUGGUCGUUCUGGCCGCGCGCAUUCGUCAGCGAGGGGAACUCCGUGGGAUCGAGCAGGGCAGGCGUGGAGGUGUCGCUACCACCGCCGCCGCCGAACACGUGGAAGUUAUUC